AUUGAACGCUGGCGGCAUGCUUUACACAUGCGAGUCGAACGGUAACAGGCCUUCGGGUGCUGACGAGUGGCGCACGGGUGAGUAAUGCAUCGGAACGUGCCCAGAGGUGGGGGAUAACGCAGCGAAAGCUGUGCUAAUACCGCAUGUGAUCUGAGGAUGAAAGCGGGGGACCAGGCAGCAAUGUUUGGCCUCGCGCCUUUGGAGCGGCCGAUGUCAGAUUAGGUAGUUGGUGGGGUAAAGGCCUACCAAGCCGACGAUCUGUAGCUGGUCUGAGAGGACGACCAGCCACACUGGGACUGAGACACGGCCCAGACUCCUACGGGAGGCAGCAGUGGGGAAUUUUGGACAAUGGGCGCAAGCCUGAUCCAGCAAUGCCGCGUGCGGGAAGAAGGCCUUCGGGUUGUAAAACGCUUUUGUACGGAACGAAAAGGCUCUGGCUAAUACCUGGGGCUGAUGACGGUACCGUAAGAAUAAGCACCGGCUAACUACGUG
RNAcentral lists this ribosomal RNA (492 nucleotides) under uncultured bacterium. Its description in RNAcentral is "partial 16S ribosomal RNA". It matches the Rfam family "Bacterial small subunit ribosomal RNA", at positions 30 to 507 of the family's 1533-position model. The record is from RNAcentral.